GUGUAAGUAUAAAUAAUUCUACUUUGAAACUGCGAAUGGCUCAUUAUAUCAGUUAUAGUUUAUUAGAAAAAAUGUACUACUUGGAUAACCGUAGUAAUUCUAGGGCUAAUACAUGAGUAAAUCCUCGACUUUGAAGAGGUGUGUUUAUUAGUAUGAAAACCAUAUGCUUCGGCAUGAUAGUGAGUAAUAAUAACCUUUCAUAUCGUAUGUUGAAAUAACGAUAGUUCUUUCAAGUUUCUGCCCUAUCAGCUUUCGAUGGUAGUGCAUUGGACUACCAUGGCAGUAACGGGUAACGAAGAAUUUGGGUUCGAUUUCGGAGAGGGAGCCUGAGAGAUGGCUACCACAUCCAAGGAAGGCAGCAGGCGCGUAAAUUACCCAAUCCUGACAUAGGGAGGUAGUGACAAUAAAUCACAAUGCGGGACUUUUAGUUUUGCAAUUGGAUUGAGAACAAUGUAAAAGAGUUAUCGAUAAACAAUUGGAGGGCAAGUCUGGUGCCAGCAGCCGCGGUAAUUCCAGCUCCAAUAGC
Molecule: ribosomal RNA, 526 nt
Filed under: Blastocystis sp. subtype 14
Lineage: Eukaryota; Bigyra; Opalinata; Blastocystidae
Description: SSU rRNA
Rfam family: Eukaryotic small subunit ribosomal RNA
Source: RNAcentral